RNAcentral lists this ribosomal RNA (199 nucleotides) under uncultured bacterium. RNAcentral's name for it is "partial 16S ribosomal RNA". It matches the Rfam family "Bacterial small subunit ribosomal RNA", at positions 328 to 539 of the family's 1533-position model. The record is from RNAcentral.
ACGCUCGACACCUACGGGAGGCAGCAGUCGGGAAUAUUGCGCAAUGGAGGAAACUCUGACGCAGUGACGCCGCGUAUGGGAAGAAGGUUUUCGGAUUGUAAACCAUUUUAGACAAGGAAGAAACAAGACAGUACUUGUAGAAUAAGCUCCGGCUAACUACGUGCCAGCAGCCACGGUAAUCUGAGCGGGCUGGCAAGGC